AGAUGUGAGGGUGACCUGGCUGUGACACCUGUCACCCCAUUGAUAACUAGUAUUGAUUUGGUUGAUCUGCCUGACUAGGCUGGUGUCCCCUUCCUCCCUCACUGCUCCUUGUGCAUCCCUCUGGAAGCUGCACACUCGAUCAGUUGAAGAGGACUACCAGCCCCAACAGAGGAAGAUUUUCUGGGGGGUGGGGGGAUUUGGAUGAAUGGUCCAAAGAUACAAACUUCCAAUUGUAAGAUAAAGAAGUACCAGGAAUGUAAGUACAACAUGACAGCUAUGAUUAACACCUGUGGGGUAUAUUUGAAAGUUGUU
Molecule: small nuclear RNA, 312 nt
Filed under: Canis lupus familiaris (dog)
Lineage: Eukaryota; Metazoa; Chordata; Mammalia; Carnivora; Canidae
Also listed under: 1 other name
Description: 7SK RNA
Rfam family: 7SK RNA
About the family: 7SK was discovered as an abundant small nuclear RNA in the mid-70s but a possible function has only recently been suggested. Two independent studies have found that 7SK RNA binds the CDK9/cyclin T complex (known as elongation factor P-TEFb).
Source: Rfam by way of RNAcentral